This 450-nucleotide ribosomal RNA is filed under the name uncultured bacterium. RNAcentral's name for it is "bacterial SSU rRNA". It matches the Rfam family "Bacterial small subunit ribosomal RNA", at positions 29 to 526 of the family's 1533-position model. The record is from RNAcentral.
AACGAACGCUGGCGGCAGGCUUAACACAUGCAAGUCGAGCGCGUAGCAAUACGAGCGGCAGACGGGUGAGUAACGCGUGGGAAUCUACCCAACCCUACGGAAUAACCCAGGGAAACUUGGACUAAUACCGUAUACGCCCUUCGGGGGAAAGAUUUAUCGGGGAUGGAUGAGCCCGCGUUGGAUUAGCUAGUUGGUGGGGUAAAGGCCUACCAAGGCGACGAUCCAUAGCUGGUCUGAGAGGAUGAUCAGCCACAUUGGGACUGAGACACGGCCCAAACUCCUACGGGAGGCAGCAGUGGGGAAUAUUGGACAAUGGGCGCAAGCCUGAUCCAGCCAUGCCGCGUGAGUGAUGAAGGCCCUAGGGUUGUAAAGCUCUUUCACCGGAGAAGAUAAUGACGGUAUCCGGAGAAGAAGCCCCGGCUAACUUCGUGCCAGCCGCCGCCGUAAUAC